CUCCUAUGUCCAUUGCAGCAGUCUUCACAAUAGCCAAAAUCUGGAAACAACUUAAGUGCCCACGAACAGACAAGUAGAUAAAGAAACUAUGGCACACUGACCCAGUGGGAUAUACUCGGCUGAAAGAAAAGAUGAAGUCAUGCCAUCUUGUGCAACAUCGUUGGAUCUGCAGAGUAUCGUGCUGAAUGAAGUGUCAAAGGAAGAGCUCAAUAGCGGUGGAUUUGGUUUACUUUGAAAAGCUAAAUAUAUACCCACGAAACAUGCACCGACUACAAAGAAAACUUGAGCAAAUUCAAGAUAGUAUCAUCAAAAUGCUCUAUCGCUCUCACUUAGGAGAUGAUUGUGGUUAAUGCUUAUCCGAUAGAACACCGCAGCUGUUGAGAAGCAGUUGGACUGCAGAACAAGCCAGUCUUCAAAGCCUAAUAUGAAUCCCAAAUUCUGAAAUCCAAAAAGUGCAGGAAAACAAAGGAUUUUUUUGAUGAGUUUGGAACCAACUCAUUGGGUUGCAAAACUUGACCUAAAGUGACAAAGGUCUAUUUUGUUCACUUUUGUCUUUUGUCCACUUAAUGUAACUAUUCAUAAUUGUU
Molecule: long non-coding RNA, 587 nt
Organism: Sorex fumeus (smoky shrew)
Lineage: Eukaryota; Metazoa; Chordata; Mammalia; Eulipotyphla; Soricidae
Exons: 3
Source: RefSeq, a predicted model, not a curated record